This 484-nucleotide ribosomal RNA is filed under the name uncultured bacterium. RNAcentral describes it as "partial 16S ribosomal RNA". It matches the Rfam family "Bacterial small subunit ribosomal RNA", at positions 30 to 507 of the family's 1533-position model. The record is from RNAcentral.
AUUGAACGCUGGCGGCAGGCCUAACACAUGCAAGUCGAGCGGAUGAAGGGAGCUUGCUCCUGGAUUCAGCGGCGGACGGGUGAGUAAUGCCUAGGAAUCUGCCUGGUAGUGGGGGAUAACGUCCGGAAACGGGCGCUAAUACCGCAUACGUCCUGAGGGAGAAAGUGGGGGAUCUUCGGACCUCACGCUAUCAGAUGAGCCUAGGUCGGAUUAGCUAGUUGGUGGGGUAAAGGCCUACCAAGGCGACGAUCCGUAACUGGUCUGAGAGGAUGAUCAGUCACACUGGAUGUGAGACACGGUCCAGACUCCUACGGGAGGCAGCAGUGGGGAAUAUUGGACAAUGGGCGAAAGCCUGAUCCAGCCAUGCCGCGUGUGUGAAGAAGGUCUUCGGAUUGUAAAGCACUUUAAGUUGGGAGGAAGGGCAGUAAGUUAAUACCUUGCUGUUUUGACGUUACCAACAGAAUAAGCACCGGCUAACUUCGUG